AUGAUUUUUCCCAAAAAUUCCACAUUUUCCCAAAAAUUCCACAUUUUUUCCCAAAAAUUCCACAUUUUUCCCAAAAAUUCCACAUUUUUCCCAAAAUUUCCCAAAAAUUCCACAUUUUCCCAAAAAUUCCACAUUUUUUCCCAAAAAUUCCACAUUUUUCCCAAAAAUUCCACAUUUUUCCCAAAAAUUCCACAUUUUUCCCCCAAAAUUCCACAUUUUUUCCCAAAAAUUCCACAUUUUCCCCAAAAAUUCCACAUUUUUCCCCCAAAAUUCCACAUUUUCUCCCAAGAAUUCCAUGUUUUUCCUGGGAAUUUCAGGUUUUUUACCAAAAAUUCCACGAUUUUCCCAAAAAUUCUGCGUCUUUUCCUGAGAAAUCCGAGUUUUCCCUGGGAAUUCAAUGGUUUUCCCAAAAAAUUCUGCAUUUUUUCCCAAAAAUUCCACAUUUUCUCCCAAAAAUUCCACAUUUUUUCCCAAAAAAUUCCACAUUUUCCCCAAGAAUUCCACAUUUUUCCCAAAAAUUCCACAUUUUUCCCCAAGAAUUCCAUGUUUUUCCUGGGAACUCCGUAUUUUUUCCUGGGAAUUCCAUGGUUUUUCCCAAGAAUUCCACAUUUUUCCCCGGUAUUUCGCAUUUUUUUCCCAAAAAUUCCUCAUUUUUUUCCAGGAAUUUUGAGUUUUUUCCCCAAAAUUUUCUGUUUUUCCCAAGAAUUCCACAUUUUUUCCCCAAGAAUUCCACAUUUUUUCCAAGGAUUUUUGCAUUUUUUCCCGAAAUUUUCUCUUUUUCCCAAGAAUUCCACAUUUCUUCUCAAGAAUUCCACGUUUAUAUCCCAAAAAUUCCACAUUUCCCCCAGGAAUUCUGCGUUUUUCUCCAGGAAUUUUCUGUUUUCUCCCAAAAUUCCACAUUUCCCCCAGGAAUUCUCUCAUUUUUCCCAGGAAUUCUCUGUUUUUCCCAAAAAUACCACAUUUUUUCCCAAAAAUUCCACAUUUUUCCCCAGGAAUUCUCUCUUUUUCCCAGGAAUUCUCUCUUUUUCCCAGGAAUUCUCUGUUUUUUCCCAAGAAUUCCACAUUUUUUCCCAAAAAUUCCACAUUUCCCCCAGGAAUUCUCUCUUUUCCCCCAGGAAUUCUCUCUUUUCCCCCAGGAAUUCUCUCUUCUCUCCCAAGAAAUCCCGUAUUUUCCCCAGGAAUUCCGCCUUUUCCCCAGGAAUUAUCCGGACUCGGAGUCGCUGGUGUCGGAGGAGGAGGAGGAAGAGGAAGAGCUGCUCGAGUCCGAGCUGGAGCUGGAGGCGCUGAGCCGCGACGCCGCCGCCGCCGCCGCCGAUUCCGACGGGAAAAGGCGGGAAAUUCAGGGAAUUCCCGGGAAAAUUCCGGGAAAAUUCCCCGGGAAAUUCAGGGAAUUCCCGGGAAAAUUCCGGGAAAAUUCCCCGGGAAAUUCAGGGAAUUCCCGGGAAAAAUCCGGGAAAAUUCCCAGGAAAAUCCUGAGAAAAUCCCCCUGAAAAUUCAGGGAAAUACCCUGGGAAAUUCCCGGGAAAUUCC
Molecule: long non-coding RNA, 1530 nt
Filed under: Cyanistes caeruleus (blue tit)
Lineage: Eukaryota; Metazoa; Chordata; Aves; Passeriformes; Paridae
Description: lncRNA (ENSCCEG00000005289.1)
Source: RNAcentral